Molecule: ribosomal RNA, 476 nt
Filed under: uncultured bacterium
Lineage: Bacteria
Description: partial 16S ribosomal RNA
Rfam family: Bacterial small subunit ribosomal RNA
Source: RNAcentral
GACGAACGCUGGCGGCGUGCCUAACACAUGCAAGUCGAGCGAUGAAACCCUUCGGGGUGGAUUAGCGGCGGACGGGUGAGUAACACGUGGGUAACCUGCCUCAAAGAGGGGGAUAGCCUCCCGAAAGGGAGAUUAAUACCGCAUAACAUUAGUUUUCCGCAUAAAUAACUAAUUAAAGGAGUAAUCCGCUUUGAGAGGGACCCGCGGCGCAUAAGCUAGUUGGUGAGGUAAAGGCUCACCAAGGCGACGAUGCGUAGCCGACCUGAGAGGGUGAUCGGCCACAUUGGAACUGAGACACGGUCCAGGCUCCUACGGGGGGCAGCAGUGGGGAAUAUUGCACAAUGGGCGAAAGCCUGAUGCAGCAACGCCGCGUGAGUGAUGAAGGCCUUCGGGUUGUAAAGCUCCGUCUUUUGGGACGAUAAUGACGGUACCAAAGGAGGAAGCCACGGCUAACUACGUGCCAGCCGCCGCUGUAA